CGCUAUCUGGGCAUAACAGUUCAGUUUAGUAGCCAAUAUGCAGAUGCAGCUGAACGCCAAGACCGUGCAGGGCGCCUUCAAGGCGCAGCGCCCUCGCUCUGUCCGCGGCAACGUGGCGGUGCGCGCAGUGGCCGCUCCCCCUAAGCUGGUCACCAAGCGCUCCGAGGAGGUAAAUUGACACAUGAGAUCCUAGUACUUGAGCGACUUCUCGGGGUCUGGAUGUGCCGAUGGGCACCUUUUUCGGGUGGUCAGGCACAGUAAUCACCCAAAUCCGGGCCUUCGCAGAUCUUCAAGGAGGCUCAGGAGCUGCUGCCCGGUGGCGUGAACUCGCCCGUGCGCGCUUUCCGCUCGGUUGGUGGCGGCCCCAUCGUCUUCGACAGGGUCAAGGGUGCCUACUGCUGGGACGUCGAUGGCAACAAGUACAUCGACUACGUUGGCUCUUGGGGCCC
RNAcentral lists this unclassified non-coding RNA (449 nucleotides) under Chlamydomonas reinhardtii. RNAcentral describes it as "partial precursor_RNA". The record is from RNAcentral. Lineage: Eukaryota; Viridiplantae; Chlorophyta; Chlorophyceae; Chlamydomonadales; Chlamydomonadaceae.